GACAGAGGUGCCAAGCGUUAGGCGGAAUCACUGGGCUUAAAGCGUGUGUAGGCGGUCGAUCAAGUACCUUGUGAAAUCCCACGGCUCAACCGUGGAACUGCUGGGUAUACUGGUUGACUUGAGCCAGCUAGGGGCGAGCGGAACAGACGGUGGAGCGGUGAAAUGCGUAGAUAUGACAUAGAACAUCGAUUGCGAAGGCAGCUCGCUACGCUAUUAUUGACACUGAGGCACGAAAGCGUGGGGAUCAAACAGG
This 253-nucleotide ribosomal RNA is filed under the name uncultured bacterium. RNAcentral's name for it is "partial 16S ribosomal RNA". It matches the Rfam family "Bacterial small subunit ribosomal RNA", at positions 524 to 776 of the family's 1533-position model. The record is from RNAcentral.